UGCCCCUUAGAGGACAUAUUGGAACGAUACAUAGAAGAUUAGCAUGAACGAACCCUGCGCAAGGAUGACACGCAUAAAUCAAGAAAGGUCCGAUAGAUAA
Molecule: small nuclear RNA, 100 nt
Organism: Malus domestica (apple)
Lineage: Eukaryota; Viridiplantae; Streptophyta; Magnoliopsida; Rosales; Rosaceae
Source: RefSeq, a predicted model, not a curated record